RNAcentral lists this ribosomal RNA (392 nucleotides) under uncultured bacterium. Its description in RNAcentral is "partial 16S ribosomal RNA". It matches the Rfam family "Bacterial small subunit ribosomal RNA", at positions 523 to 918 of the family's 1533-position model. The record is from RNAcentral.
ACACGUAGGGGCCUGACGUUGUUCGGAAUCAUUGGGCGUAAAGGGCGCGCAGGCGGCCGUCCAAGUCCGGUGUUAAAUGGUCGGGCUCAACCCGAUCAUGCGCUGGAAACUGGGCGGCUGGAGUCCCGGAGGGGAUGCCGGAAUUCCAGGUGUAGGGGUGAAAUCUGUGGAUAUCUGGAAGAACACCGAUGGCGAAGGCAGGCAUCUGGCCGGAGACUGACGCUGAGGCGCGAAGGCGCGGGGAGCGAACAGGUUUAGAUACCCUGGUAGUCCGCGCAGUAAACGAUGCGCACCAGGUGUCGGGCGGCAGCGCCCGGUACCGGAGCAAACGCGAUGAGUGCGCCGCCUGGGGAGUAUGCCCGCAAGGGUGAAACUCAAAUGAAUUGACGGGG